Molecule: long non-coding RNA, 550 nt
Filed under: Elaeis guineensis (African oil palm)
Lineage: Eukaryota; Viridiplantae; Streptophyta; Magnoliopsida; Arecales; Arecaceae
Description: long non-coding RNA (EGUI_LNC034461)
Source: RNAcentral
GGCCCUUAUGCAAGAAUAAACACAAACUAUCCCAAAACAAAUAAAAACUUCAUAUAAUAAAUACAAACUCGAUGGCAAUAAACAAAACUAUUCAAAAUAAACACAAACUUCACCCCUACAACUUGGGUCAUUCUCCCUCAUAAUAAACAAUAAGAGAGGAGAAUAAAUACUAACUUCUAAUAGAAUAAACAUAAAUCUCAAAAAAAAUAAAUUCAAACUUUUCAGAAUAAACACAAAUAUGUCUAAAAUAAACUAAAACUUGAAAACUUGCUCUCUACUUUGCUAUACCCCAUGCAAGAAUAAAUACAAAAUAUCCUAACAUAAAUAAAAACUUUAAAUAAUAAAUAUAAACUCUCUAAAAUAAAUAUAAAUUCUAUGGUGAUAAACAAAAAUCAUUCAAAAUAAAUACAAACUUCAUCCCAAAAUUUGGGUCAUCCAAGGUUUUCUCCCUUGAUAAAUAACAAGAAUAGAGGAUAAACACUAAUUUCUAAUAGAAUAAACAUAUUUUUUUUGAAAAUAAAUAAAAACUCUUUAGAAUAAGUAUAAGUAG